CUCGUGGGAUGGACUGUGUUUUAUGAUGUUGUUUGUGGCUGUUUUGUUCCAGUGAACAGGCUGUGAGAAAGCUACUGAAGGAUCGUGAGCUUGGCUGCUGAAGAUCAGUUUGAGCGAGAAGCAGUGGAAACCGGUCAAAGCCGAGUUUGACCAGGUGUCUGCUGUACACUCAAACACCAAAGCCGAGCUGGACAGUCUAGAGCGCCAAACCUUUCUGGAGGAGCCGAAGAACACGACAAUUGAAAACUUAAAAGCAAAACUAAGUGACAUGCACACUGAACACAGAAACCUCUCUGCUGAUUUUGAGGAGAACAAGAAACACUAUCAGGAAUGUUUGAAUUCUGUGAAGGGGUUUGUCAAACACUAUGGCGUUCAAACAUGGGACAGCCACAGUAGUGAUGGGUAAUGUGCACAGGGAUAUAGCUUCCUGUGAACAGAGGAAGUCUCAUCACGCACAGAUUCACUCAGCACUGUUCACUCAACGCCAGGCUGUCAUGAAGGACACAGAGGGUAAUCUACAGGAAGCCCUAAAAGCCAAUCUGAGGUUAUCUCAAGAGUACAGAGAGCUGCAGAAAGCUCUGAUGAUUGCCAGUCAAGAAGCCGUUUGUGUUUUUACAUAAGAAACAGAGCAGAGGCCUUCAUCCAAGAUCACAAGCAGCUUUCUUUGUUGCAGAAGAGGAUGCACAAAGCCAUGCUAAAAUACUUCAAACACCGCAGCGUCUACAGCAAGGCAGAGCUGGCCCGCUUCCAGACCCUCUCCAACCAGAACAACCAGAAAAUGAAAGCCCUCCAGAAACCACUAGCAAAAGUUGUCCACCCAUCUAUUCAUGAGGAACCUGAAGGUUGUGGAUUGCAAAAACUAGUUCCACUGAUUUGUCCCUGUGUCUUCCUGAGGAUCAAAUGACUGCUUCUGAGCAGCUCUACUGAAGUAUAGAGAUGGGGGAAGAGUAAAACGAAAUAGAGAAAGCGUGCAAGCCUGUCAUCUUGAAACGCCGCUGCAAGAUUGGGCACUCAGUUCCGGGUUAUGCAAGUUUACACCAGGGAUAGCAUAAUUGACAAUUGCUAACAACAGAGAGCAGGGUGGAGAGUUGUGAAUGGCCAGUAAUAAUUGGAGCGAACGCCCACUGCGCCGCUCUCGGGGGACCGUAAUCCAAGAUCUUGUUUCUGAUAUAAUUGUUAGUCAGAAAAUUUCUGCAUGGCUAGGCCAGCUCAGUUCCCAAGCUGGUUGACAGUGCAAGGCAGUUUAAUAGAAAAACUGGUUGCUGAGGUUUUUUAAAACAGGCACGCACUGAACCCAUGCGCAGGAGUGUGACACACACCGUCUUUCCCAUAUCUUUGUUUUAUCUUUCUCAAUCUUAUGUCUUGAGAAAUAAAAGUGUCUCAAAUGUCAGUGUUGCUCUUUCGUAGGAUUAAGGGAAUGGGACAAAGUUUGACUAGUACAGUAAAUGCCGCAACUAAACUGUUUUACAGACAAAAAGCAUCUUUCUCCAGUGAGUAUAUGUGUAUUCUGACAAAACAAAAUGUAAGAUUAUAUAUUUUAUAUUUUUCUAUUAAAUUUUAUCAUGACAUUAUAUGCAGUGCUGUUCAAAAGUUUAGGCUACCUAAGAUUUUUUUUUUUGAAAAAAGUCUCUUAUGCUCACUAAAACUUCAUUUAUCUGAAAUAUUUUUACAAUAUAAAAUAACAUUUUAUAUUUUAAUAUACUUUGAAAUGUACUUUAUUCCUGUGAUGUAAAGCUGAAUUUUCAGCAUCA
Molecule: long non-coding RNA, 1751 nt
Organism: Cyprinus carpio carpio
Lineage: Eukaryota; Metazoa; Chordata; Actinopteri; Cypriniformes; Cyprinidae
Source: Ensembl